CAGCUGCCGGGGAGAAAGGGAUUGGAGCAGCAGGGCUAACCCGGCGCUGCUCGGAGAUGGGUUGCUGACGGACUCGGGAGGCAGCUGCAACAGGGCAUCGCUCAGUGUCCAAGUUUUUCCGUUUCUGAGCGCAAAAGGAAGAACUUAAGUGGGCUGCACUUGGACCGUAAAUCGCUCUGUAGUAUGUAAAAGCAGCAUGGAUCACGGACAGCCGAGCUGAGUCACUUGACCAACUCAGCUAUCAAGACGUACCUUGAACACCACCUCCCCUGUGAGGCUACUGACUCUUUGACAGAGAUGGGCAUUCUGAAGCCUUAAAUUUAUACUGAUGUCAUAGUAACCCAACAGAAAGACCAUGAGAAGAAUGGUCACUUACUACCAUUAUGAAAGGUAACCAAAAUAAAUACUGGCUACCAAAUCCAAAUGAACCAAAGAAGAAAAGGCAGCACAGAGGCAAACCAGGCUCGUAGGAGACCCAUGUGUGGAUAGGUUGUAAAUGGAUGAAGAGAGAUUUCUUCAACUGUCCUCGGGAUUUUCUCAGCUAAAUUCUACUGAAAGAGAGGAGCACCUGGCCCAUCUGGUUUGAGAAGCAUGAAAACAAGUCACAGCCUUGGUCCAGAAGAUGAGCUUCUACCCUGAGUCAUCCAUAUUCCUGUUCUGAGCAACUCAUACUGUUUGCUUACACAAGAUCCCUUAGGAUUAGUAGUUGGUUGUUUCUGGUUGUCUAUUAUUUCUUGUUCAUUUCACUUACAACUUUGAUAACGAUGUAACAGUGAUCUCUGCCCAGGAAAAAAGUAAUGAUCCUUGGAACAAGAUGUGCAAGCAGGAAACAUAUUUAUCUUCUCAAGACUGAGCUUCCAUUACUAAUAAUAGCUACCUUGUAUUGAACCCUCAUUCUACGCCAAGUUCCUGCAAAACACAUUCCAGAUCUUAUCUCAUUUAAUCCUGGCAACAAUGAUAGAAGAUAUGGGAGAUGGCGUAAUAAAAGGAGGCACCUUCACAACUUGGAGCAGCCAGCAGAAUGUAAAAUUCUGAUGUAGGAGGAUACCCAUGCCAUUUUGAGUGGAGGAAAAAAGCAAUUUUUUGCUCAGCAUUACCUAUAGUCAGGUUUCAUUGUGAAAAAUUGAAUAUAUUCUUGCAUAUUUUUCCUAUACGCACAUAUACACAUAUACAUACUCACAGACAACUGUGCAUGUGCAAAGUCCUAAAUUAUACACAUCCAUGUGCUCAUAGAGAUUGCAACUAUGGUAUAGGAACUUAGGGGAUAAGAAUGAAAUUGUUAUAUUUUACUUUAGACAUUUCAUUUCAUUCAAUGAAAACAUUGAAUGUUUUCAGUGAGCAUUCACUUCUUUUAAAGUUACUUCUUUUAAGUUGUAGGCCAGUGUUACUAAAAGCCUGAUACUCCAUACACCUUGCCCCAAUAUGUUAGAUGCUCCUGCUAUUAUAUCGUUUAUCAGCUUUUACGUUUUGCUUUCCAUCUGUGAUGGUUAGGUUCAUGUGUCAAGUUGGCCAAGUAAUGGUACCACCGCUGUCUGAUCAAACAGCACUGGCCUAACUGUUGCUUUGAGGAUGUUUUGUGGCUGGUUUAUUAAACAUCAG
Choloepus didactylus (southern two-toed sloth) is the source of this 1599-nucleotide long non-coding RNA. RefSeq lists it as uncharacterized. The transcript has 6 exons. Lineage: Eukaryota; Metazoa; Chordata; Mammalia; Pilosa; Megalonychidae. The record is from RefSeq and is a predicted model, not a curated record.